UUCAAUUGUUACCAAAAGCGUACGUUAUAUUAAAUCCCUUCUUUCAUCGUCAAUUUGAUAUUUAAAAUGUGUAUGCCGGUUAUUCAAAGAUACAUUAGCUACUUUUAACUUUUUACAGGACACAGUUUAGCUCAAUUGCCACAUUUUUUUUUGAAAAGGAAAUCAGUUCAUGGAUUUCCUACAAGUAAUAAGUGAUAGAAAGUUUCUUUCCUGGAUAAAAGAGGACCAUUCGAAUACAAUCUUGUAAAAAUCAUCCACUGGAGGAACAUAAACCAUCAUCAUAAGUUCAUCAUCAACCCUUGGACCCCACUACAAGGACAUCAGGACGCGUUUCAAUCGAGGGACAUCUCUCAUCGUGGGAGAUCAUCGUCGCGGACAACGGGGGACCAUUUCUAACGGGUGCGAAUAGCUCCCAACGGUGAGGGUCAUCUUCCGAUGGCUGGAACCGUCUUUCAAUGGUAAGAAGUCCCUUUCAACAGCCAAGAUCGUCCCUCGCAGGUAAGACUUGUCCCUUUGCGGACAGGAACACCUUCAAGUGGUUUGAGGGUGAUCCCGUCUGCGGGAGGGUGGUACUUGUACCACAUCUUCCGCAGAUGUGAUCAUUUUUAAACAACUUGAAGGUGAUUUCUGUUAGCAAAGGUAUAAGUCAACCCUCCGAAGGGGGAUCGCAGUUGUUGUAAGGUACUUCUAACCACUUGGAAGAUAGUUCCUGGUCAUUGAAAGGUGGCACUUACCACUUGGGGGCUAUACAAUCCCGCUAAAAAUGGUCCCGCGCGCGGACAGGGGACCCGCGUCCCCCACCGGCGUUGAAUUACAAAAACCUUCGAUGUAGGGAUGCACCAUUCGAAAAAUAAAAAAAUUGUCUUUUUUUA
This is a long non-coding RNA of Agrilus planipennis (emerald ash borer), 872 nucleotides long. RefSeq lists it as uncharacterized. NCBI's taxonomy places the organism in Eukaryota, Metazoa, Arthropoda, Insecta, Coleoptera, Buprestidae. The record is from RefSeq and is a predicted model, not a curated record. The transcript has 3 exons.